AUCUGGCUGACGAGUCCCAAAUGGAACGAAAUGCACGUCCUGCAU
This is a non-coding RNA of Schistosoma mansoni, 45 nucleotides long. The record is from Rfam. Lineage: Eukaryota; Metazoa; Platyhelminthes; Trematoda; Strigeidida; Schistosomatidae.